AGUGAACGCUGGCGGUAGGCCUAACACAUGCAAGUCGAACGGCAGCACAGUAAGAGCUUGCUCUUACGGGUGGCGAGUGGCGGACGGGUGAGGAAUACAUCGGAAUCUACUUUUUCGUGGGGGAUAACGUAGGGAAACUUACGCUAAUACCGCAUACGACCUACGGGGGAGAGCAGUGGAUCUUCGCACCUUGCGCGAUUGAAUGAGCCGAUGUCGGAUUAGCUAGUUGGCGGGGUAAAGGCCCACCAAGGCGACGAUCCGUAGCUGGUCUGAGAGGAUGAUCAGCCACAUGGGAGCUGAGACACCGUCCAGAGUCCUACGGGAGGGAGCAGUGUGGAAUAUUGGACAGUGGGGGGAAGCAUGGUCCAGCCAUACCGAGUGGGUGAAGAAGGCCUUCGGGUUGUAAAGACCUUUUGUGGGGAAAGAACAGCAGUCGGUUAAUACGCCGCUGUUGUGACGGUACCCAAAGAAUAAGCACCGGCUAACUUCGUG
Molecule: ribosomal RNA, 492 nt
Filed under: uncultured bacterium
Lineage: Bacteria
Description: partial 16S ribosomal RNA
Rfam family: Bacterial small subunit ribosomal RNA
Source: RNAcentral